RNAcentral lists this long non-coding RNA (3730 nucleotides) under Homo sapiens (human). RNAcentral describes it as "HSALNT0241952". Lineage: Eukaryota; Metazoa; Chordata; Mammalia; Primates; Hominidae. The record is from RNAcentral.
CCCAGGUUGAAGAUUUGGCCAGAGGCGAGCAGUUAAAGUGUCACUUAACAUUCUGGAGAAUGUGAAAUAUACUGCGCGGUGUCAACUCCCCAAAACCAUAAAACUAACUUUAUGGACCUCACGUGACUUUCUCGAGCCAGUGAGGGGUAUCUGUCUGACUUCUCGGCGAUUUUUACGAUCUAACUUCGAGAUAAAACCCCUAUCCAUUUGACAUCUAAAUGUCAUAGCGACUUUUGGGAUAGUUUGCUAUCGACAAAGGGAGACAAAGUCAAGGGGUGAAGGGAAAGGAGGGCCAAGUAGAGCCUCCACGACCCUCGGCUUCCUCCUCACCAGCUCCCCCUCCCUCCAAGUCCAGUAAGAAGUUGGGCCAAGCUGGAAGGGAUUGACCGGGUUGCUUGUCUGGAGAUGGAGCCACUACAGGCGGGCCUGGGCGCCUGGAGUCGGGCAUGAAAGAAAAUAGCGCCUCAUCGCUCUUAUCUAAGCCCAGAGGUCCAGGGGACAACCUGAGGGCCCUGAAGUGUUUCAAUACCAUGUACCAGCUUGACUUCUCUACAUGUCCUUUGGAUUGCCCAAAAGCAAAAUCUCAGAGGGGCCAAGGACCUUCUAGGGCUGGCUCCCUCAGGGCCUCCUAUAGAGCAGCUCCUUGAGUCGGGCCUUAUAGCCACCAGAAAGUCACCUCGCCGCAGGAAAGCUAUAAAGAGCUGCUCCAGAGGCGCCGAAAGAGGGUGAGGGCUGCAGCCACAGUGUUUGUCCCCAGCACCACCAGGCCCCUUAACCUCGUCAGCUCCUCUAGCCCUCGGCCAGACUCUGGCAACACCUUGGUUUGCCUGGCACCGCAGGCAAUUUCCUGGAACCCCACCCCCACCCAGGAACGGGGACCACAGCACCUUUAAAGGAACUGCCAGAGCUUCCUCCUACGGCUUGAAAGCCCAAGCUAAUCAGUAACCCGUGAGACAGGGGCCAAUAUUCAAACGCUGCAGCAGAGGCGCAUAGCCUAGCCCUGGCCACCCCCUCUUGGGAAGGAGGUCGAGUUAAGCCGGUGUGGAGGGUCCAACAGGAACGGAAAUUACGACGGUGUGGUUCCUUAAGGAUUUGGCCCCAGUCCCACUACCAAAUUUUUCCCAAAUCAUAUUUAGGUAGACUUCGCUUGAAAAGAUCGAGAAUGGAGGAGGGGAUCGGCACUCACUUGCAGACAUCAACAGUUUCCAGAAAAUUCGGUUCAAUUCCUUCACCACGGACCCACCAACCAAGGAGCUGGCAAAACCCACUAACCAACCAGGAGAACACAGACCCGGUUUGUCUUUUGACAACCGAGUGGAACUGACGGGGCCGGCGCCUGCCCUGCGGGUCCCCUCCCUUGGCUGAGAAGAAAACCAAAUAAACCUUGAACAGCCUUGGCUUCGGAUGUCUCAAGCGGCCUCAUCCUCUCCCGCGCCUUGGUGGGGUGGGGGUGGGGAUGGCGGUGGGGGUGUCGGCUCUGAUCCCUCCACCCUUUGAUUCAGGGCCCCUGCCCGCUGGAAGCAGAAUUAGACCUUUUUAUAUAUGCCCUAGAGGAAGCCGCUUCCCUUGCCAGCCGCCAGGUUUGGGGCUAGGAUGGGCGGGGACGGGGGCAGUGGGAAAUUGGGGAUGAUGGGUGGAGGAGAGACUUCUGUUCUCUAACUCACACCGGGGAACCAAGAUCUAGCUGAGAGCGUCGGUGUGGGCCCGAAAUCCCCCGAAUCCCGUGGACCCUGCGAGGCCGGGGCUCCAGGCGUCGGGCACCUCUGGACAGUGUCGCGGGGCUUGCGGCGCCGAAGCCGCGUGUCUCCGAACGGACGGUAGAUGGCAGCAGACCGCAUAAUUUGGGUCACAGCGAACUGUCUAAGGGAGGAUUUAUAACCCUCCAAGACUACAGGAGAAAAAGACCUUUAGUAUGGGUGGGUUUGGGAAAUUUUUCCCUUGAGAAUAGUCCCCGAGUGCCGUGGGUGCUGGCGGAGAACUCUAGCUACGAAGCCCAGCGGUCCCUCCAGGCGCCCAGGCCGGGCCUGAACCUAGGGCAUCUACCUGGGGCCACAGAGCCGCCUCUUCCGCGCCACAAGUGGCAGCGUCGUCCCUCUCCUAGCUUAGGACUGAGAUAAUAAAUAUAUCCCCACUUCCAAAACGCCCCAGACCCUGUAACUCCGGGGCAACCAGAGGCCCGAGGCUGAAUGUCCUGCAUCUGGUCUUAAGAAAGAGAAAAGCAAUCACAUGUUCGUGCAAACCAGACUAAAAAUCACAAUUUCUCCUGCCCUCCACAGCCAACAUCACUUAUCUCUUGGCUGGAAGCUUCCCCAGAAGCUCCCUUACCCCAUUUUUAAGUCCUUGCCUCAAGGCUGGCACCUACUUCCACCCCACGAGCUACUUUAGGAAUCUCUGUCACCUGCCCAAUGUUCUCCGCCCUCCCCACCCCCUAGAAGGCCUGACUGAGGGAUAAAAUUGGACACCCGAGGGACGGGACUGUCUGAGCUCAGUGCCAGUUAGCUUUUCAGUUUAGACGCCGCUAGGUCCCAUAAUUGGAUUUUCUUUUUAUUUUCUUCUUUCAUUUCUUUCUCUUUUAUUUUUAUUUACAAGCCUAAAACAAAAAGGCACUUAACAGCUUCUUCACAAUCACCAUGUCUGGACCCAGGAAAGUUUGAAAUGUUAUCAUAUCAGACACACACAUGGCAAUUUUUUCCUCCACCGAAAUCCACACAUCCCAUACCAAUACAACGCAAGUAAUAGAAUCAGUAUCACGCAGAAACCAACAGCUGUAACCUACCGCAUUAAAACCACAAAACUGUCUCCCUGUAGAGCGAGGCUCCCUCCUGCGGGAGUGGCGAGAUACUUGGGCAUUCUCGGGCAGGCUUCCUGCCGUUUCCUCUCCCUCGCCGGCCUCGGCGGAGAUUCCAGGCCCUAUAGAAACCAGGACGUCCCUUAGCGCCACCGCCUCACAUGCCAGUGCUGCCGGGAACCCAGCGAUAUCCGCACCAGCGGAGAAGGUUCCAGGCUGCCGGCGGCGGCGCAGAGAGCGGGAAGAGAGGCUCGGAGGAAGCCCCGGGCGUGGCGUGGUCAGGCUCCGAGAGCGGCCGGGAUGCGGCCACACCGGCCUGGUAAACUCGCACCUCUUAGGAUCUUGCUCCCGGACUCAUUCCCUUCCCCACCCCCUAUUUUAAAGUUUUAUUUGGGUCGUCUGUAUCAAUUUAGAACGAGAUAAAUUAAGACAAAGAAAGUAAAAUAAAUCGAAAUAAAAUAUAGGAAUAGCUCUUGGCGAAAAUGUUUGCCGUGCGAGCAGGAAGCCGUGAGCGCCCUAGUUGGAGGCUGCUCUGCGCCGACUAAGAGGCCUCUACUCCCAGGCCUGGCCUCUACGCAACGCCACCCAAGAAGCCAGAGUGAAUUUGGGUGUUCAUUUUCCCUUUCCUUCCGCUCUUCCUUCAUGUGGGGCCUAGCAGCUUGGAUUUCAGCUCCGUCUUUGUGCCUGGGCUGCAGCCCAGAUCCAGAUCCCGCAGCUUGGUUUCCAGGCCUGAAUGAGGACGCGGGUUUGUGAAACUGUGAGGUUUUUGUUUUGUUGUUUUGUGAGCUUGUGUGACUAAGCAUGUGGGCUUCUGAGUGCGUUUACUUGGGGGCAAAUGUGAAUCUGUGUUUAUAAGCCAAUGUGUGAAUGUACGUUGGUAUCAAUGUGUCUGUGAGUGUGAAUGUGUGUUUACUUGUGAGCGUGUGUGAACAUGAAUGCCUA